AAAUUGAGCUGUUGAGCUGACGGUGGGCAUGACCCGCUGAGGAACCUCACCUCACCCUCCAAGCAAGGUGUAGAUAACUACUACGAUGAAAAUCGUAAUCUGAUGGCAGAAACGACACUGCCUUCUCACGUAGAUUAAUGACUUGGAUAUAAGCCAGAGAAAUUGUGAGAAGGAAUGGUUGAAACGAGUCAGACCCUUGGUGCAAGGCCAAAUGAAAGCGUUAAAGCACUUGGAGCUAGCUUUAGGUAGGCCGCUUAGUUUGAUGCUCAAUCCUAUUUUUGGCGACGAAAAUAGCAGACAGAAAGGUGGGUACAAGCUCAAGUU
RNAcentral lists this RNase P RNA (324 nucleotides) under Promethearchaeota archaeon. Its description in RNAcentral is "Candidatus Lokiarchaeota archaeon (permafrost metagenome) RNase P RNA component". It matches the Rfam family "Archaeal RNase P". Rfam says of the family: Ribonuclease P (RNase P) is a ubiquitous endoribonuclease, found in archaea, bacteria and eukarya as well as chloroplasts and mitochondria. Its best characterised activity is the generation of mature 5'-ends of tRNAs by cleaving the 5'-leader elements of precursor-tRNAs. Lineage: Archaea; Promethearchaeati; Promethearchaeota. The record is from RNAcentral.